Hypanus sabinus (Atlantic stingray) is the source of this 8457-nucleotide long non-coding RNA. RefSeq lists it as uncharacterized. NCBI's taxonomy places the organism in Eukaryota, Metazoa, Chordata, Chondrichthyes, Myliobatiformes, Dasyatidae. The record is from RefSeq and is a predicted model, not a curated record. The transcript has 4 exons.
CUGCACUCACUUGCUGUCCAUCGAGAUGCUCCCCGAACGAAUCAUCGUACUGGGACUGUCUCAAAAUGAGUGAAAUAUGAGGUGAUUUGACUGAGACAGAUCACAUUCCUGUCUCAGAAUUAGAGAAAUACAAUCUCACAGGAUAUUUACAGCGGAAGGGCUGGAAUGAUGUUUCCCACAAGGUGUGGAACCAGCGGUCGCAGUCUCAAAAUCCGAGGACAACUCAGCAGGACUGAGAUGAGGAGAAAUUUCCUCACCCAGAGUGCAGUGAAUCAUUGCAAUUAUCUCCACAAGGUUUCUAAAUUGAAUAGACAAAUCCUGAGGCUCAGCGGUGAUGGGAAGUUGCAGGAAUCUGGUGCUGAGGUCAAAGGACAAGCAUAUUCUGACCGAAGUUUGGAAUCGGGAACGAGUCGACCCGGUGAGAGACCCGAGAUUGGGAGCAGCUCCCCGGGUAAAGGCUGCAACAGCGGCCGGUGUUUUGAACCCUUCCGAUGGCGGAGGUGACGAUUCGGGCGGAGAUUCCGUGAUAAGUUUCAGCCACACAGGGGGUGCCCGGUCUUUCCCCGCCAUGGAUCGGGGCCUGUUGUCCGGAGUUUCCUCCCAGUCCUGUCUCCUACUGCUGGGAUACGGGAGCUGGCCCGCAGCGGCUGCCGAUGGAACUCCGGUGCUGUGAGCGCUCCCCUGUGCAAAAGGACAGGCUGAAGGCCCUGGGAGAACCAGGCGCAAAGGGAAACUCGGACUUUAGAAAAAGGAAACUGGAACAGGCCAUUCGGCCCGUUGUGUCUGUCCUGCCUUUCACGCAGAACAUGCCGCGGAGCAAGCAGGGUGUCACAAAGAGAGGAAUAUGGGAGUGUUGUAUGUCUGAGCCCAGCUGUGUGUGUUUGUGUAUCAGAAUCAGGUUUAUUGCAUCUGUGGUGAAAUUUGUUCCUUUGUGUCUGCAGUACAUUGCAAUAUUUACUAAUAAAAACCACAGAUUACAAUUAGAAUGUGUAAAAUUAUAUUUAGAAUGUAGUGCAAAACGAGAGGGAAAAUACUGAGGGGGUGUUGAUGGGUUCAUUGUCCAUUCGGAAAUCUGAUGGUGGGGAAGAAGCUGUUCCUAAACCAGUAAGAGUAUCUUCAGGGUCCUGUACAUCCUCCUUGAUGGUCGCAAUGAGAAGAGGUCAUGUCCUGGGUGAUGGGGGUCCUUAAUGAUGGAUGUCACCUUUUUGUGGCCUCAUCUUUUGAAUGUGUCCUGGAUGCUGUGGAGUCCAGUGCCCAUGAAGGAGCUGGCUGAGUUUACAACUUUCUGCAGCAUUUUCUGAUCCUGUGCAAUGGCCUCUCCACACCAGGCAGUGAUGCAACCAGUUAGAAUGCUCUCCACAGUACAUUUGUAGAAAUUAGCAAAUGUCUUUAGGGACAGACCGAUCCCCCUCAAUUUCCGAAUUAAGUAUAGCCGAUGUUGUGCCUUCAUUGUAACUGCAUUCAAUAUGCUGGGCCCAGGAUAGACACACAGACGUGGUGUUGAGAGAGUAGAGCAGUGGGCUGAGCACGCAUCAUUGAGGUGUGCCAGUGUUGAUUGUCAGCAAGGAGGAGAUGUUGUUUCUGAUCCACACAGACUGUGGUCUCCUGGUGAGGAUCCAGUUGCAGAAGGAGGUACAGAGGCCCAGGUUUUGGAGCUUGUUGAUUACAAUUGAGGGUCUGAUUGUGUUGAACGCUGAGCUGUAAUCAGCAGCCUGACUUGUGUAUUGCUAUUGUCCAGGUGAUCUAAGGCUGAGUGGAGAGUCAGUGAGAUUGCAUCUACUGUAGAUAUAUUGUGGCGAUCGGCAAAUUGCAGUGGGUUUGGGUCCAUGCACAGACAGGAGUUGAUUCUAGACAUGACCAACCCCUCAAAGCACUUCAUCAAUGCUGUGUGUGUGUGUGUGUGAUACUGCAGCUUUGUAAACUUCAAAGGAAGGAGAGGCACUGCCGUGCUUUCUUCGUAUUUGCACUUGCAGUGCUUAUAAAAAGUAUGCGGCCAUCUUGGAAAUCAUCAUCUUUUAUUGUUUUACAACAUUAAGACAGAGUGGAUUUAGAUUUGUUUUAUUCACACGAAUCAGCAGAAAUAAAAAACUCUGUUGUGUCAAUGUGAAAAUAGAUCACCAAAAAGUGAAAAAAGUAAUUACAAGUAUAAAAUAGAAAAUAUUUGAGUGCAUCAGUAUUCACCCCCUACAUGUCAGUAUUCUAAACCUUGCAAUCCCAUUUCACCAGUUAGAAGAUUUGAUUUCAUUUUUACAUACAGAACCUCCCCACCCCUCUGCCUACCUGCCUGUCCAUUCAGUACAAUCUGUAUCCUUGCUCAUGAAGCUCCCAGCUAUAAUCUUCCUUCAGCCACCAUUUAGUGAUGCCCAAAUGCCAAUCUGUAACUGUGACACAAGUUCAUCUCCCUUACUCCAUGUAUUGCACACAUUCAAAUAUAAAACCUUCAGUUCCGUAUUCAUCCCCUUUUUCAUUUUCUCACCCUUUUGCAAUGCAACUCAUCCCGCCCACCGACGUUUUGCCCUAUCGUCAGCCUCUCAAUGGUGGCAGUCUCAGUACACACUGCUGCUGUUUGAAGACUAACAACAUUCUCCUCAGCCCAUCACUCCAGUUCAGAUCUGCUGCCAAAUUAAUUUAAAACCUCUCGGACAGCUCUGGCAAUCCUACCCGCAUGGAUAUCAGCAGACACUGACCCUCCCCCCACCGAGUUCAGGUGUAAACAGUCCCUGUUGUACAGGUCCUAUGUUCACUAAUGAUCCCGGAAUCAGAAGCCCUGCCCCUCCGCACCAGUUUCACAGCCACACUGUCAUCUGUCAGAUCAUCCUGUUCUCACCUUCACUGGCACGUGGCUCAGGCAGAAUCGAGGCAUCACUGCGCUUGAGGUCUCUUUUCAGUGUUCUACGUCACUCCCUAAUACGUUUGUAUAUCUAUUGAGGACCGCACCUUUCCUACCUAUGCGAUUGGUCCAAUAUGCACCAAUAUUUCUGGUGGCCACAGUUGCCGGCUCCUUCUGCUCCCCUCCCCUGUGUGAUCAAUUGGAGACCCCUCAGAGGUCAUUGAAGUAGCUGCAGACGUCCAACAGCGGCCUCGAUAACCACCUGCCGAGGCUCUCUCUGCAUCGGCUGUUGUUUCCACACCCGGAGGGGCCGGGACGGAACUGCUCCAUGAAUUAACACCUGUUAGCCGGGGACAGACACUACAGAUAACAAAAUCAAAGGGAAUAAGAUCUGAGCCAGCAGAUCGAUAUUUCGGGGAAAUUUCAGACAGUUUCCCGGAAUAAUGGUGGGAGGAAUCUCAAUUCCUAAGCCCUGGACCCCGAUGACUUAUGGAGUAUAAUUAGUGAUGCUUCUGACCCGCCAGAAAAACCAAUGGUGUUCCAUAAAUGGCUCACACAGGCUUGCCAAACUCUCCCGACACUACCCGGGGUCUUGUGCCCCUCCUCAGGGUUAUAUAUGGAACCUCUCGGGCAGGGACAGGGAGUGGGUUUCUCUUUCCAGACCCUGCCCGUGAUCUCGCCCCACCAGGGUCAGGAACAGUUAUUACCUCAACCAUCAGGCUGGGAACAACACAGGAUAACUGCACUCACCUGCUGUCCAUAGAGAUGCUCCCACAACAAAUCAUCGUACUGGGACUGUCUCAAAAUAAGUGAAAUGAAAGGUGGUUUGACAGAGACAGAUCGCAUUCCUGUCUCAGAAUUAGAGAAAUGCAAUCUCACAGGAUAUUUACAGCUGAAGGGCUGGAAUGAUGUUUCCCAUAAGGUGUGAAACCAGCGCUCACAGACUCAAAAUCCGAGGACAACUCAGCAGGACUGAGAUGAGGUGAAAUUUCCUCACCCAGAGUGCAGUGGAUCAUUGCAAUUAUCUCCACAAGGUUUCGAAAUUGAAUAGACAUAUCCUGGGGCUCAGCGGUGAUGGAAUUUGCAGGAAUGUGAUGCUGAGGUCAAAGGACAAGCAUGUUCUGAGUGAAGCGCAAAAGAAGCGCAAGGGGCCAAAUGGCCGCAGCUCUAUUUCUUAAUUUCUGAAAGACGAGUUUACCUUUGCGCCUUACUGUUUCUUGUCCUGUCAGAUUGAACAGGGAGCGCUGAGUCUAUCUGCUGCCGCUGCGGUUAUUUCCUGUUCUCGUUGUUUAUCUGCAUUGGCGAAGUUUGUUGACUGAUGCACUCUGGCUGAUCUUUCAGUGAUCCAGAAAUGUAGGAGUUGUAUGUGGCGACUUAUCUGUACUCUGAUAAUAAAAUUUACUUUGAACUUUGAGCCUUGGGGAACUUGCUUUGUUUCUGAGACCAAACUGUGACUGACAGCUCCAGCUCCCGGUAGCAGCCCGUCCUCAGACACACUCACAGCCAAUCAGAGAACACCACUGGGAGAAUCUUGCCUCCAUUGGCUGAGAUGUGUCAGUGGGCGGGACGCUGAGCGGACCGAAGUUUGGAAUCGAGAACGAAUUUACACAGUGAGAGACCCGGGAUUGGCAGCAGGUCGCCGUGUUUCAGCCACACAGAGGGUGCCCGGUCUUUCCCCGCCGUGGGUCGGGGCCUGUUUCGGGAGUUUCCUCCCAGAACUGUCUCCUGCUGCUGGGAUAGGGGAGCUGACCCGCAGCGGCUGCGGAUGGAAUUCCGGUGUGUGAGCGCACCCCUGUGAAAAGGUUAGGCUGAAGGCCCAGGGAGAACCAGGCACAAAGAAUCCCAACAGAUUUGCCAGAUCUAAGAUUGUCCCUUGAGACGGAACAAGCAGCUCACUUGUGCAGCGGACCAACAGUCCUCGGGUUGCAAGCCUGCGGAACCAAGAUUAUUGUGCUGACCACAACCCCUCAGUCGGGCGAUAAUACAGCUGUACAGAUGAGAUAAGUGCAGACGGUUGGGAAAGAACAUUCUGAACUCACACCUCUGUUCUGCUAAAGACACACACACUUGUCUGCUGCUGGAUCCAAACACAAGCUGAUUUCCCUCUCACCCAGAGUUCCACAAAUGUGGAAUUUCAAUGACCUAGUGUUAAAAUAAAUGAUUUUCCACAAUGACUGUGCGUUUCUAUUUUUAUUGCAGCAUCGGAUCCGGAGUAACAAUUAUUGUCUUUUCCUUUCCGGUUGUGUCCGGAAAAUGGCAUCAAAGGCAGGAGCGCUGAGAAACAGACUUGCCGCAGCAUCACAGACACAUGGCAAAGCCGCGGUCACAACAACAUCAACACAAGUUAUUCAAACAGAAGGAACUCAAAUAGAACAAAAACAUUUAGAGCACAGUGGUCAGAGUGUUCACAGUACAACAUCGCCCUCACAGUGUUCAAAACUGAAGUGUCCAGUUCCAGAUAAAAUGGUAAACCAGCUUCCUGUCCGUAAAAAUGAAUGCAACUGAUUGUCACAGACAGGAGAAAAUCUGCAGAUUCUGGAAAUCCAAGCAAAACACACGGAAUGCUGGAGGAACUCAGCAGACCAGGCAGUAUCUAUGGAAAAUAAUACUUUCGACGUUUUGGGCCUUGGCCAUUGACAAGACUUGACUUUAGAACAUCCAAUAGAUUGAGCACUUCUGAUAUCAGUCUCACCGGCCUAUCAUUGCCUGGCUGAGAACAGUAGGUGGUGAAUGUGUUGAAAUCGUAGCCACAGGUGGAUGUGUUGGCAAGUGAUGGAGUGUAAAUAUGGCGGAGGCUGAUAGGUUCAUGAUCACUCAGGUUAUUCCGGUAGGAGGACAGAAGAAUGGAUUCGUGAGGGAAAUUGGUCAGUCACGAUGAAAUGACGGAGCAUACUCGAUGGAACGAAUGGCCUGAUUCUGUUCCUAUGUCUUGUGGUCUAAGCACAUAUAUACCUCCCCCCCCCUCCACUUUCCAGUUUCUGCAGAAAUCGCUCCCUUCAUUUGCCCUUUUCCACUGAUGUUCCUCCUGGCACUUACCCCUGAAAGUGAGAGGAAUACUACACCUGCCCGUUCAUCUCCUCCCUUACUCCAUUCAUCGCCCAAAGAGGUUCUUCCAAGUGAGGCAACGCUUCCUCUAUUGCAUCCGCUGCCCCUGAUGCAGCCUUCUCUAUAUUGGUGGGACCCGGAGUUAAUUGGGGGGGGAUCGUUUUGAUAACACUUCCUUUCCAGCUGCCAAAGUAAAACUUCCCUGUCCCUGAACAAUUUUAUUCAUAUCAUCAUUCCCGUUCCAACGUUUCAGUCCAUGGCUUCCUCUUAUUCCAUGAUGAAGCUCACCUCCGGCUGGAUAAACGGCACCUUAUAUUUUUUUUUUAUAUAAUCUCCAACCAGAUGGCAGGUGUAUCGAUUUCUCCUUCCAGUCAACUUUAUCCUUCCCCCUCCAUUCACCUUUUUUUCCCCACUCUGGCUCUGACCUCUUCUGGUCACCUCACUAUAGGGAGGAUGUGGAAGCAUUGGAAAGGGUACAGAGGAGAUUUACCAGAAUGCUGCCUGGUUUAGAGAGUAUGGGUUAUGAUCAGAGAUUAAGGGAGCUAGGGCUUUACUCUUUGGAGAGAAGCAGGAUGAGAGCAGACAUGAUAGAGGUGUACAAGAUAUUAAGAGGAAUAGAUAGAGUGGAUAGCCAGCGCUUCUUCCCCAGGACACCCUGCUCAGUACAAGAGGACAUGGCUUUAAGGUAAGGGGUGGGAAGUUCAAGGGGGAUAUCAGAGGAAGGUUUUUUUUACUCAAAGAGUACAAGUGCGUGGAAUGCACUGCCUGAGUCAGUGGUGGAGGCAGAUACACUAGUGAAGUUUAAGAGACUACUAGACAGGUUUAUGGAAGAGUUUAAGGUGGGGGGGUUAUAUGGGAGGCAGGGUUUGAGGGUCGGCACAACAAUGUGGGCCGAAGGGCCUGUAAUGUUCUGUACUAUUCUAUGUUCUAUGUUCUAUUUUCUUCUUGCUUGCAUAUCACCUCCCACUGUUGCCACUCCUCCUUCCCUUUCUCCCAUGACGCAGCCUCACCCGCUGAGUUCCUCCAGCAAUUUCUGUGUGUAACUUUCCCACCUAGUGGUGUCCUACCGUAAUGGCAGGUCCUCUGUGCGGAGCACUCUCACCCGGAGGGUUUCUGCCGCAAUGGCCGCUCCCUUGUUGACAACACUCCUACCUGGUGGUGUCCUGCCGCAAUGACCGGUCCGCUGUGGACAACACUCAACAGUUAACAGACGACAGUCAACGUUUUGUAAAAUGACACUUCAUCAUGACCGGAAAGGACGCAGAAAGAUGCUAGACUGAUAAAGUGAGGAAAGUGGUAGAAGUACAAGCUGGCAGAUGAGGGACAAGGUUGUGGGAGGGGAUGUAAUUGAACUCAAAGUCUUGGAGAUGAGAGUUGGAAAAGUUAAACAGCUGCAGAAGAACGAAUCUAAUAGAGGAGUAGAGUGGAGCACUGACGAAAGGAAGAAUGAGUGGAACCAGGGAAAGGUAAUGGGCAGACGAGAAGAGAAGGGGUGACAGGGUAACUAGUAGCACACACAAAAUUGCCCGUAGGAACUCAGCAGGUUAUGCAGCAUCUAUGGAAGGGAGUACGGACAGUCGACGUUUCCAGCUGAGACACCAGCAGGACUGGUGGAAUAACGAUGAGGAGUCAGGCUGAGAGGCUGUGGGGAUAAUGGGGAGAAAUACAAGGUGAUAUGUGCAACCCGGAGGAGGGUGUAGGGGUGAAGUAAAGAAGGCAAUGGAAGAAAGAAAAAGAUGCUGGAGCACCAGAUGGAGGCAAUACCCAUCUGUCCUCUAUCAGAUUCCCCUUUUCCAGUCCUGUAUCUCUGACCAGUCAACUUCCCAACUCUUCACUAUUCUGACGUGGAUACAAUCCCUUAAUACAAUCUUGAUUUUAUCGCUCCCUCAGCGACCGCAAGCUGCCCAGGCCCCGACUCAGCAAAGCAGUCCCAAACCAUAAUGCUCCUUCCAUCCGGCUUCACAGUUAGGAUGAGGUUUUGGUGUUGGUGGGCAGUGCUCUUUUCCCUCCAGACACAGCAAUGUGAAUUUCUGCCAAAACCUUCAACAUUUAUCUCGCCUUUCCUCAGAACAUUGUCCCAGAAACCUUGUAGAGCAUCCAGCUGCUCUUCCUUAAAGUUGAGAUGUUCAGCAAAGUGUUUUUUGAAGAGCAGUCGUUUACUCCGCGGUGUCCGUCCAUGAAAACCAUUCUUGCUCACUGUUUUCAUACAGUGGACACAUGAGACUUUAGAGAGUCCGGCAUGUUUCCUGCUGUUACCCUUGGGCUAGUUUUCAUCUCGUUCAGGAUUCUCUUGAUGUGAUUUUUGCAGGAUGUCCAGUCCCAGGGAGAGUGACAACUGUACUGAAUUUCCUCCGUAUAUAGAUAAUUACCUUUCCUGUGGACUGAAGAACACUCGGGACUUUAGAAAUGCUUUUGUAGCAUUUUCCAUUUUCAUGCAGCUCUACUGAACUUCUAAGGUUCUCGGAAAGAUUUCUUUUGAUCGAGGCAUGGUCCAUAUAAACAGUUACAUGCUCUGUCGGUAACCUGACCUCCUGAAUCCUUUUUAAUUAUAGGGCAAGUCAUCUCUACACCAGCAAUUCCAA